This 581-nucleotide long non-coding RNA is filed under the name Phascolarctos cinereus (koala). Its description in RNAcentral is "lncRNA (ENSPCIG00000027629.2)". Lineage: Eukaryota; Metazoa; Chordata; Mammalia; Diprotodontia; Phascolarctidae. The record is from RNAcentral.
UUGACAUCAAUAUCUAGGGCCAAAACAUAAGAAAAGCUGAUACUAUCAAGACAAAUGUUUGUGAAGGAUGUCUGGACAUCUUCCAUCAACGGUGUGAAACAAAUUCUGGAAAUAGUCAUUAGAUGCCAUUGUGAGUACUAAGAGGAUCAUUAGAAUUUUCUUAAAAUUAAAAAUACAUUGUGGCAUCACGUUUUGCCAUCUCUCUCCUUCUGCUGGGUUUUGGUAAAGAGCUCUUUCUCUGGAUGUAAUUUGUUAUAAAUGCAAGUUAUUCUGAGGCAUCUUGAUGUGAAUUCUGGUAUGUUAUUACAGGAUUAAAGUGUUAACUAUGGAGAAGAAUACAGGAACACUUGAAAGGGCCAACCAUCAAUAGAAAGGAAAAUUGUUACUCUGACUCAUCUUUUGUGAAGAACAAAUUCAUUAAGAGGUUCUUAUGUGGCUGUUACGCUAUUUCCUUGCUGAACUUUUGUGCUGGGGGCCUGCUGUGUCCUGACUGCUGUGAAAAUUUCCCCAAAGUAGGAGCAUGCUGUGCAAGUACUUCUCAUGCCUGAUUCCCACCUUUUGGAAUUUAAGGAUGCUACAAC